GACGUAGGGCGCGAGCGUUGUCCGGAUUUAUUGGGCGUAAAGAGCUCGUAGGCGGCUUGUUGCGUCGACUGUGAAAACCCGCGGCUUAACCGCGGGCUUGCAGUUGAUACGGGCAGGCUAGAGUUCGGUAGGGGAGACUGGAAUUCCUGGUGUAGCGGUGAAAUGCGCAGAUAUCAGGAGGAACACCGGUGGCGAAGGCGGUGAGCUGGGCAGUUGCUGACACUGAGGCGCGACAGCGUGGGGAGCAAACAGG
Molecule: ribosomal RNA, 253 nt
Filed under: uncultured bacterium
Lineage: Bacteria
Description: partial 16S ribosomal RNA
Rfam family: Bacterial small subunit ribosomal RNA
Source: RNAcentral